GACUCCGUAGCUCAGCUGGAUAGAGCGUUUGACUACGAAUCAAAAGGCCGCGUGUUCGAAUCACGCCGGGGUCACCA
Molecule: transfer RNA, 77 nt
Filed under: Sporomusa acidovorans
Lineage: Bacteria; Bacillati; Bacillota; Negativicutes; Selenomonadales; Sporomusaceae
Also listed under: 2 other names
Description: tRNA_Arg_ACG
Rfam family: tRNA
About the family: Transfer RNA (tRNA) molecules are approximately 80 nucleotides in length. Their secondary structure includes four short double-helical elements and three loops (D, anti-codon, and T loops).
Source: RNAcentral